GAUGACUUCACAUGUGGGAGGCUGUCCACCUGUUCUGUUGGUUACUGCCCUAAGACUCUGGGGUGAGGAGAUAUAAGCCCCUGUGCAGAUGAAAAGAUUGGGAAAUUCCUAUUUUAAGGAAAGGCGGCUGAAAUACUGUAUAUACAGUAGGAUGUACAUUCUUAGGGGCUUCAGUGUUGCUGAAGUAUAACAUUGCUGUAUGAAGUACUGAUGAUUUCCUUGGCUGAACCUCUGUUGUGAGAAAAUACAUGGACAGUGUCGGACUGGGGUAUGAAGGGCCCACCGGGGGAAUGCAGUGAUAGGGGCCCAGGAGUGUGGCCAGUCUACAAAGCAGGCUUGAAAUACACAAUAGACUUGUGCAGUGUAAUGCAACAUAUCUACCAUGUAUAACACAAGUGCACAGUCUGGAACCUGAUCCCUAGAGGAAGGAGUGGACCCUUAGGCAGUGGGGCCCACUGGUGGUUUCCCCUGUACCAUGUAGGCCAGUCCGACCCUGUACAUGGAACCCACAUUAUUUUUUUAGUCUGAUGAAACAAAACUCACUGAAUUAGCAGACAGGUAAAUCUGGGACAGUUCAUUUUAUUAUUCAUACCUCGACAGCUGUAAUGCUGGUGAACAGCACGGACCUGCUGGUAGAGACGCUCCAAUGCUUCAAUCUGACCCUUCUUCCUGAACUCUCGUCCAUCGUAGUCUUUCCAGUCUGUUCAGCAAACACAAAAAAUUGGUCACUGAGAUAAAAAAGGAGCAAUAUGUAAUGGCCUGCUAGGUGCAGGCUGAUCGGGAAUUUCUGAGUAUGCGCACAUUUUUAAAGCUGCAAUCAUUUAAAGGAUUUGUAAAGGAUUGCCGCUUUAAAAAUACACAUGCUGCCAUGUACAGUAUAUUCUGCGCAAAACUGAGGGAUCAACAUACAAAGGUUCUAUAAUGUUUAGCUGCUGGUUGCAUACCUCGUAUUCUGUUAGUCAUUUCCAAGGUAACCUUCAUUCAGUAAGCUACAGUAUAUAUUUAUUUAUUUGUUUAUUUACUAUUCAUUGAUAUGGCACCAGUGUAUUCUUACGUGAUUUAUAAUAGGGAGCACAGUAAUAAAACAAGAC
This is a long non-coding RNA of Pseudophryne corroboree (corroboree frog), 1091 nucleotides long. RefSeq lists it as uncharacterized. The record is from RefSeq and is a predicted model, not a curated record. The transcript has 4 exons. NCBI's taxonomy places the organism in Eukaryota, Metazoa, Chordata, Amphibia, Anura, Myobatrachidae.